This 339-nucleotide long non-coding RNA is filed under the name Phoenix dactylifera (date palm). RNAcentral's name for it is "long non-coding RNA (PDAC_LNC015012)". The record is from RNAcentral. Lineage: Eukaryota; Viridiplantae; Streptophyta; Magnoliopsida; Arecales; Arecaceae.
AGUCGACUCCGAGACAGUUCGAGUCGACUCCGAGACAGCACGAGCCAAAAGACAGAAGCUCGGAAGUUCGAACUCUGAGCGCCGAGUCGACUCCCAGAAUUUCCGAGUCGACUCGAGUGAGCAAAGUUAAAAAAUACAUCCAUGGAUUUCUUGGGAUGAGCCGACUCCAAGAGUGCCAGGUCAGCUCCAAACUUUGGGGAGUCGACUCCGGGAUAAGUCGAGUCGACUCCCAGUCGAGACAGCAUUUUAAUUCGAAUUUUGAACAGUUGCCGAGCCGUCUCCAGAAAAGCAUGAGUCGACUCCUGCAACAGUCGAGUCGACUCCAGAUCGCGCGAGUCG